Molecule: ribosomal RNA, 484 nt
Filed under: uncultured bacterium
Lineage: Bacteria
Description: partial 16S ribosomal RNA
Rfam family: Bacterial small subunit ribosomal RNA
Source: RNAcentral
AUUGAACGCUGGCGGCAGGCCUAACACAUGCAAGUCGAGCGGAUGAAGGGAGCUUGCUCCUGGAUUCAGCGGCGGACGGGUGAGUAAUGCCUAGGAAUCUGCCUGGUAGUGGGGGAUAACGUCCGGAAACGGGCGCUAAUACCGCAUACGUCCUGAGGGAUAAAGCGGGGGAUCUUCGGACCUCACGCUAUCAGAUGAGCCUAGGUCGGAUUAGCUAGUUGGUGGGGUAAAGGCCUACCAAGGCGACGAUCCGUAACUGGUCUGAGAGGAGGAUCAGUCACACGGGAACUGAGACACGGUCCAGACUCCUACGGGAGGCAGCAGUGGGGAAUAUUGGACAAUAGGCGAAAGCCUGAUCCAGCCAUGCCGCGUGUGUGAAGAAGGUCUUCGGAUUGUAAAGCACUUUAGGUUGGGAGAAAGGGCAGUAAGUUAAUACCUUGCUGUUUUGACGUUACCAACAGAAUAAGCACCGGCUAACUUCGUG